RNAcentral lists this ribosomal RNA (636 nucleotides) under uncultured bacterium. RNAcentral's name for it is "bacterial SSU rRNA". It matches the Rfam family "Bacterial small subunit ribosomal RNA", at positions 62 to 716 of the family's 1533-position model. The record is from RNAcentral.
UCGAGCGGAAGGCCCUUCGGGGUACUCGAGCGGCGAACGGGUGAGUAACACGUGAGUAACCUGCCCCAGACUUUGGGAUAACCCUCGGAAACGGGGGCUAAUACCGGAUACGACGCGCUCUCGCAUGGGAUGCGUGUGGAAAGUUUUUCGGUUUGGGAUGGGCUCGCGGACUAUCAGCUUGUUGGUGGGGUGAUGGCCUACCAAGGCGACGACGGUUAGCCGGCCUGAGAGGGCGACCGGCCACACUGGGACUGAGACACGGCCCAGACUCCUACGGGAGGCAGCAGUGGGGAAUAUUGCACAAUGGGCGGAAGCCUGAUGCAGCGACGCCGCGUGAGGGAUGACGGCCUUCGGGUUGUAAACCUCUUUCAGCAGGGACGAAGCGAGAGUGACGGUACCUGCAGAAGAAGCGCCGGCCAACUACGUGCCAGCAGCCGCGGUAAGACGUAGGGCGCGAGCGUUGUCCGGAUUUAUUGGGCGUAAAGAGCUCGUAGGCGGCUUGUCGCGUCGACUGUGAAAACCCGCGGCUCAACCGCGGGCCUGCAGCCGAUACGGGCAGGCUAGAGUUCGGUAGGGGAGACUGGAAUUCCUGGUGUAGCGGUGAAAUGCGCAGAUAUCAGGAGGAACACCGAUGGC